GGUUGGUGGUUCGAAUCCAGUGAAAGGUUGCAUUGCACGUUCUGCACGUUCACAAUGUGCAUUACGUAUAACGUUCCAUCAUCCGAAACCAGUGACUAACUCUAUUUGACCGUCUCGAGCAUCUUCUCGCUGUAGCGCAGUCGGUUAAGCGGUUGGUACAAACGAUGCAGACAUCGAGCUGGAGGUUGGUGGUUCGAAUCCAGUGAAAGGUUGCAUUGCACGUUCUGCACGUUCACAAUGUGCAUUACGUAUAACGUUCCAUCAUCCGAAACCAGUGACUAACUCUAUUUGACCGUCUCGAGCAUCUUCUCGCUGUAGCGCAGUCGGUUAAGCGGUUGGUACAAACGAUGCAGACAUCGAGCUGGAGGUUGGUGGUUCGAAUCCAGUGAAAGGUUGCAUUGCACGUUCUGCACGUUCACAAUGUGCAUUACGUAUAACGUUCCAUCAUCCGAAACCAGUGACUAACUCUAUUUGACCGUCUCGAGCAUCUUCUCGCUGUAGCGCAGUCGGUUAAGCGGUUGGUACAAACGAUGCAGACAUCGAGCUGGAGGUUGGUGGUUCGAAUCCAGUGAAAGGUUGCAUUGCACGUUCUGCACGUUCACAAUGUGCAUUACGUAUAACGUUCCAUCAUCCGAAACCAGUGACUAACUCUAUUUGACCGUCUCGAGCAUCUUCUCGCUGUAGCGCAGUCGGUUAAGCGGUUGGUACAAACGAUGCAGACAUCGAGCUGGAGGUUGGUGGUUCGAAUCCAGUGAAAGGUAAGUUAUAUUUAAAUGAUUGUUUGUAAUGUGGAUGCCCAUACGUAAUGUGAAUAGGAAGCUCAGAAUGAAGGUAGAAGUAGUGGAUAGAAGACCCAUCCCCUCCCCCCCCCCCCCCCCACACACACACCA
This is a long non-coding RNA of Gigantopelta aegis, 890 nucleotides long. RefSeq lists it as uncharacterized. The record is from RefSeq and is a predicted model, not a curated record. The transcript is spliced from 5 exons. Lineage: Eukaryota; Metazoa; Mollusca; Gastropoda; Neomphalida; Peltospiridae.